AACGAACGCUGGCGGCAUGCCUAACACAUGCAAGUCGAACGAAGCCUUCGGGCUUAGUGGCGCACGGGUGCGUAACGCGUGGGAAUCUGCCCUCAGGUACGGAAUAACUCAGGGAAACUUGAGCUAAUACCGUAUAAUGACUUCGGUCCAAAGAUUUAUCGCCUGAGGAUGAGCCCGCGUCGGAUUAGCUAGUUGGUGAGGUAAAGGCUCACCAAGGCGACGAUCCGUAGCUGGUCUGUGAGGAUGAUCAGCCACACUGGGACUGAGACACGGCCCAGACUCCUACGGGAGGCAGCAGUGGUGAAUAUUGGACAAUGGGCGCAAGCCUGUUCCAGCAAUGCCGGGUGAGUGAUGAAGGCCUUAGGGUUGUAAAGCUCUUUUACCCGGGAAGAUAAUGACUGUACCGGGAGAAUAAGCCCCGGCUAACUCCGUGCCAGCAGCCGCCGCCG
RNAcentral lists this ribosomal RNA (449 nucleotides) under uncultured bacterium. RNAcentral describes it as "partial 16S ribosomal RNA". It matches the Rfam family "Bacterial small subunit ribosomal RNA", at positions 29 to 523 of the family's 1533-position model. The record is from RNAcentral.